UACGUAGGGUGCAAGCGUUAAUCGGAAUUACUGGGCGUAAAGCGUGCGCAGGCGGUUAUGCAAGACAGAGGUGAAAUCCCCGGGCUCAACCUGGGAACUGCCUUUGUGACUCCAUGGCUAGAGUACGGUAGAGGGGGAUGGAAUUCCGCGUGUAGCAGUGAAAUGCGUAGAUAUGCGGAGGAACACCGAUGGCGAAGGCAAUCCCCUGGACCUGUACUGACGCUCAUGCACGAAAGCGUGGGGAGCAAACAGG
Molecule: ribosomal RNA, 253 nt
Filed under: uncultured bacterium
Lineage: Bacteria
Description: partial 16S ribosomal RNA
Rfam family: Bacterial small subunit ribosomal RNA
Source: RNAcentral